UGGUUAUUAUAUCUCCACUAAUAAGCAGAGAGGGGGUUAAACCUUUGAAGUAAGUUAUGUGGAUCAAGGUAUGGUGAUUAAUUGGAGUUCUAGUUCAUUUACUUUUGAGAAAAUUAGAGUGUUUAAAGCAGCCUCUUGGGGCACUGAAUACAUUAGCAUGGGAUAAUAAAAUAGGAUCUUCACAAUAUAUUUUAUUGGUUUAAAUUGCGUAUGAAGAUAAUGAUUAAUAGGGACAGUUGGGGGUAUUCAUAUUGGGUGGUUAGCGGUGAAAUGCUCGGAUCCAUUCAAGAUGAACUAAAGCGAAAGCAUUUACCAAGGAUGUUUUCAUUAAUCAAGAACGAAAGUUAAGGGAUCGAAGACGAUUAGAUACCGUCGUAGUCUUAACUAUAAACUAUGCCGACCAGGGAUAUGAGUUGUUAGGGAUAUAUGAAAGUAUAUCCAAUUUCUUCUUAUGGACCUUGUGAGAAAUCAUAAGUUUUUGGG
This 483-nucleotide ribosomal RNA is filed under the name uncultured eukaryote. Its description in RNAcentral is "bacterial SSU rRNA". It matches the Rfam family "Eukaryotic small subunit ribosomal RNA", at positions 653 to 1111 of the family's 1831-position model. The record is from RNAcentral.